Molecule: ribosomal RNA, 497 nt
Filed under: uncultured bacterium
Lineage: Bacteria
Description: partial 16S ribosomal RNA
Rfam family: Bacterial small subunit ribosomal RNA
Source: RNAcentral
GAUGAACGCUGGCGGCGUGCCUAAUACAUGCAAGUCGAGCGAACGGACGAGAAGCUUGCUUCUCUGAUGUUAGCGGCGGACGGGUGAGUAACACGUGGAUAACCUACCUAUAAGACUGGGAUAACUUCGGGAAACCGGAGCUAAUACCGGAUAAUAUUUUGAACCGCAUGGUUCAAAAGUGAAGGACGGUCUUGCUGUCACUUAUAGAUGGAUCCGCGCUGCAUUAGCUAGUUGGUAAGGUAACGGCUUACCAAGGCAACGAUGCAUAGCCGACCUGAGAGGGUGAUCGGCCACACUGGAACUGAGACACGGUCCAGACUCCUACGGGAGGCAGCAGUAGGGAAUCUUCCGCAAUGGGCGAAAGCCUGACGGAGCAACGCCGCGUGAGUGAUGAAGGUCUUCGGAUCGUAAAACUCUGUUAUUAGGGGAGAACAUAUGUGUAAGUAACUGUGCACAUCUUGACGGUACCUAAUCAGAAAGCCACGGCUAACUACGUG